Molecule: long non-coding RNA, 444 nt
Organism: Manacus vitellinus (golden-collared manakin)
Lineage: Eukaryota; Metazoa; Chordata; Aves; Passeriformes; Pipridae
Exons: 3
Source: RefSeq, a predicted model, not a curated record
UGUUGACAUUAGAAAAACUACACUUUGAUCUUCAAAACUGCAGAGUCUGGGUUUCAGCAGCAAAAGAAACCACCUCCAUGUGCAGAGCAUCCAGCCACACUCACUUGGCAAACUGCCACUGAGAAGUAACAUGUGAAACUCUCAGCAAGGUUGCACAGGACUAGAAGUUAUGUAAAACAGCUGGACUGAAAUACAACAUUCUGUUCAGAAGCCUGAAUGGCCUGCAGCACAAUUCCAGUGUAUUCUGAUGCACCAUGGAAAUCAACCUGCCUGACCUCCCAAGUGAACUGACUUGGAUUAGAAACUCUUUUAAUCAAGACCAACACCAUCGAUACAGAGGGAAAGUUAUAAAUGAGAAAGGCUCAGAAGAAGUGUUCCUGCAGACUUUAACAGGUAAGUUGGCCAUUCCUUGAAACUUUGCCUAAUUUUCCUCUAUGAUUAAGC